GCCUUCGUGGUGUAAUGGUCAGCACACUCGACACGUAUUCGUAAGGUCCGAGGUUCGAGUCCCGGUGAGGGCA
RNAcentral lists this transfer RNA (73 nucleotides) under Stegodyphus mimosarum. It matches the Rfam family "tRNA". Rfam says of the family: Transfer RNA (tRNA) molecules are approximately 80 nucleotides in length. Their secondary structure includes four short double-helical elements and three loops (D, anti-codon, and T loops). Lineage: Eukaryota; Metazoa; Arthropoda; Arachnida; Araneae; Eresidae. The record is from Rfam by way of RNAcentral.